This 701-nucleotide ribosomal RNA is filed under the name Nonomuraea sp. Its description in RNAcentral is "bacterial SSU rRNA". It matches the Rfam family "Bacterial small subunit ribosomal RNA", at positions 91 to 809 of the family's 1533-position model. The record is from RNAcentral. Lineage: Bacteria; Bacillati; Actinomycetota; Actinomycetes; Streptosporangiales; Streptosporangiaceae.
UCGAGCGGCGAACGGGUGAGUAACACGUGAGUAACCUGCCCCUGACUCUGGGAUAAGCCUGGGAAACCGGGUCUAAUACCGGAUAUGACCGCCUCCGGCAUCGGAUGGUGGUGGAAAGUUUUUUCGGUUGGGGAUGGGCUCGCGGCCUAUCAGCUUGUUGGUGGGGUAGUGGCCUACCAAGGCGACGACGGGUAGCCGGCCUGAGAGGGCGACCGGCCACACUGGGACUGAGACACGGCCCAGACUCCUACGGGAGGCAGCAGUGGGGAAUAUUGCGCAAUGGGCGGAAGCCUGACGCAGCGACGCCGCGUGGGGGAUGACGGCCUUCGGGUUGUAAACCUCUUUCAGCAGGGACGAAGUUGACGUGUACCUGCAGAAGAAGCGCCGGCUAACUACGUGCCAGCAGCCGCGGUAAUACGUAGGGCGCAAGCGUUGUCCGGAAUUAUUGGGCGUAAAGAGCUCGUAGGUGGCUGGUCGCGUCUGCCGUGAAAGCCCGCAGCUUAACUGCGGGUCUGCGGUGGAUACGGGCCGGCUAGAGGUAGGUAGGGGCAAGUGGAAUUCCUGGUGUAGCGGUGAAAUGCGCAGAUAUCAGGAGGAACACCGGUGGCGAAGGCGGCUUGCUGGGCCUUACCUGACGCUGAGGAGCGAAAGCGUGGGGAGCGAACAGGAUUAGAUACCCUGGUAGUCCACGCUGUAAACGU